GGCGGCGACGAAGGAGAGGGUGGCGAGUCCACGGGAGCCCCACCGGCGACGCUGCACAUCCGGGGCGCCAGCGGCAACAAGUUCGCGGUGCAGGCCGACCUGGGCACCACCGUCGGGGCGUUCAAGGCGAUAGUCGCCCAGAGCUGCGACGUGCCAGCGCCGCAGCAGCGGCUGAUCUACAAGGGCCGGAUCUUGAAGGACGAGCAAACCCUAGCCAGCUACGGUGCGUGUACCUUCCUCACUAGGAAAGAAUGAAAAUCUUGCUCUUCUCUCACGAUUCUGCCUAUUAUACCGUGGUUGAUGAUGUGGUUAGUUAGAUUAUGUGCGUGUGCCCCACGCCUCCAGUUACGCCUAGUGUUAGUUGGUAGCACGCUAGAUGCAAUGCCUGGCCGUUUGACGAUGCAGGGUGCUGGUGCUUCAUUUGACGAUGUAUAUGGAUUAUGGAUCAUGACAUAGGUUUUUUUUCCAAUCAUUGUCUCUUGGUAGAUGCAGCAUGGUGGUUAGGAACUGGUUAGGAAUAGCCGCGGGCAUAGCCUAUGGCGUUGAUUCGUUUUGCAGCUUAGGUAACUUAUGCCAUAGAAGUGAAACGAACACUGAUUUGAUGACUCACCGGAAAUGUAGCUCCGAAUCAUGGAGCCAUGCAUGUGCGGGCGUUAAGUGUGCACUUCGCAUUGGUAAGUAAAAUUCUAGGUGGCUAUACAUGUGUUGGAUCGUAGAGUGCAACUGGUAGGCAUGCAGGAAUACAUGUUUCUUGCUGGAUGCGUGCAGCAUGAUGGCAUCAUAUCUUAUUGAUCAGCCAGUAGGAAGGCUUAUUAUUAUUUCUUUUGGGUUCCCGCCUAUAACUUUAUUUAGUUCGGUUUCAAGUGCUUUUUGUGAACAACUCACAUCUACGUGUAACGUUAUCUUCUACAGCUGGUAUGUCAGCAUGCUAUUAUUACUAUUGCUGCAUUAAGUUUUGUCGUGUUUUGACAACAACAUGAGCCAUCUUUUAUAGCAUUAUCCAUCUAGCACUCUCCGUGACAUGGAAAGGUUCUACAUCAAAUUAUUACUAAGCUUCAGUGUUUUACAAAAUUUGAUAUAUGCAUGUGAAAUCUUGUUGCAUACCUACUUUAGUUUGCACCACAAAUUAUGAGAUCAGAUACACAGGAGUUCUAUAGAUAUUUUUUUCGUAUCCAUAGCUUUGUUCUCAUUAAAAAAAAGUCCUCUCUAACCACUGUUACAUCAUUGAUUCAGUUGCAGACUGCACAAUAAGUUACAUAUAGUUUUUACGUUAUAUCUUCAAUAAUUUUCAUGUUUGGUCCUUGGCAAAGUUGCAAUAAGUUGGAAAUUUGGUAUAAAUUACAACAUGAGCAUGAUAUAUGUAGCUUGUUCACUUGGAACAGUUUUUAAUCAGAUAAGAAAUAAAAAAUGAAUAUUUCUUGCAAAUGUCAUGAAGUCCAUGUACUAAAACGGAACCAAAUGUGGACAGAUUCCUCAUGCUAAACUACUGGUGUUCCGCAGUAAAAAUAAAUAAAUCAAAUAUCGGUAGGUGACAAUUUUUUUAUUUUCAUGGAGGGAAAGAAUUUUGUGUUUCAGCAUUGACUGCAUGUUUAGUGUUGAGUCAUUAAGGUGUUGGCUGUUGCGCAGUUCAUUAGUUUUCCAAGUUUUGCUUAUUCUUAUGCUUUCUUCCCCUCUUGCAGGUGUGGAUACAGAUCACACCAUCCAUAUGGUGUGUGGUGCUGCACCACCAGCAACAGCAGCUGCACCGGCUGCAGCCAACCAUGGGACUUCAACUACUACUACUGCAAAUACUUCGCCUGCUGGUUUAGGAGGAUUGUUGCAAGGUCUGGGCGCUACAGGAACUGCUGGAACGGGGUUGGGUUUACCUGGCUCUGGCCUUGCAGGAUUGGAGCAGAUGCAACAGCAGUUGACUGAGAAUCCCAACUUAAUGAGGGAAAUAUUGAACAUGCCAGCCAUGCAGAGUUUAAUGAACAACCCUGAUAUAAUGCGUGAUAUGAUUAUGAACAAUCCUCAGAUGCGUGAGCUCAUUGAUCGUAAUCCGGAUCUGGCACAUGUCCUGAAUGAUCCAAGCAUCCUUCGUCAGACUGUUGAAGCGGCUAGGAAUCCUGAGCUUAUGAGGGAGAUGAUGCGGAACACAGACAGAGCAAUGAGCAACAUUGAAUCUUCUCCAGAAGGGUUCAAUAUGCUCCGCCGCAUGUAUGAAACUGUUCAAGAGCCAUUUCUGAAUGCAACAACAAUGGCUGGGGAGGGUGAUAGAAAUCCAAACCCGUUUGCAGCUCUUCUAGGAAACCAGGGGUCUAACCAAGCCAGAGAUCCAGCUGGAAAUGCACCAACUACUGCUUCAGAGUCCACGACAGGCUCUCCUGCUCCAAAUACUAAUCCGCUUCCAAAUCCCUGGAGUGCAAAUGGUAGGUUUUUGGUACCCCCACUCUUUUUGUUGCCGGUAUGUGCAUUUUGCUCUUGCCCUGUUUUGCUAUCUAAGUCUUAAAUCUACAGCUGGGUCUGCGCAAGGAGCGGCAAGGCCUUCUCCUGCUAGCAAUGCAAGGAGUGCCACUAGCGGUGGCCUAGGACUAGGAGGGUUGGGUUCUGCAGAUUUGGGAAGUAUGCUGGCUGGUGGCUCUGAUGCUUCCUUCUUGAACCAGGUUUUGCAAAACCCUACAAUGAUGCAAAUGAUGCAAAAUAUUAUGUCUAAUCCUCAGUCCAUGAAUCAGGUGCGCUGCUUCUAAUAUUUCAGUUCUGAAUAAUUUACUAGGAACCUACUUCUUGAGCAGAGUACAUACUGUUCUGACCCUGUCAUGAUGUUUUCUUGUUUGCAGUUGCUCAACAUGAACCCAAAUGUACGUAACAUGAUGGAAUCAAAUUCCCAGAUGAGAGAAAUGUUUCAGAAUCCAGAAUUUCUUCGACAGUUGACGUCUCCCGAAACAUUGCAGGUGAAAUUAGUGAUACUACUUUAGUUAUAUGUGACUACUGUAUGGAAGACUAAAUAGCCUCUCUUUUUUGCAGCAACUGAUUUCAUUCCAGCAGGCUAUGACGUCCCAACUUGGUCAACAACAAGCUGGCCAGUGAGUAUCUUGAGCUCAACUUGACCUCCUUAGCUCAUGAGGUCUUUGAUUACCUUUUCUUUUCUGCAAGCGACUUUUCCUUGUUGAACCUAAAAUGUAGAGGUUUGGUAUUAAUUAUUUGCUGGUAAUAUGGUAAGCCUUGCUCUAUGCUGUGUUUGUUUAAUAUGUUUUCUUGUUUGAUUCAGGGAGCGGACGCAAGCAGGAACUGGUGCAGGUAAUUUCGUCUACCUAUUCACCAUCUUUCCAUCUGAAUGAUCUUUCAUAGCAUUCAUGCAUCAGCUUUCUGUCCGAGUUAUUUAGAUUGUGUUAUUGAUGGCUGUCUUUUACAUGCUGUUUUUCAGCAUUGCUUUCCCUUUCCAUAAGGUUUGAUUUUGACAUUUUGUAUCAAGAAGUAGAACAUUAGAGAGCUAAGAUUUCCCAACCUGUUUGGGGUCUUUACCUUUGUCAUAUAAAUUGCAAGAAAACAUAUGAGCAACAGACUGUAUACUAGGAAACAGAUUUGUGUUUUCUGAUUUGGCCAUUACUUUCUUUCCAAUAUUUUUUAGAUACCUGAUCCGACUUCUUUAUGAGAAGUCGAUGUUUUUUUUGGUAUUAUCCUUGCAAACUUGCCGCAAACCUAAGGGCUUCCACAGUGUGCCAAAUGCUUGCCACCUAGAUCUCUAAUUUGGCACUGAUGCUAAAUUCUAAUUUUUCUACAAUGUAGAUGAAGCCAAAUUUGCAUGCAAGUAGGACUCACCAAUGAAUAAACUACCCUAAACUACUCCAUCAUACAUUCUUCCCUGUCUCUCCCAACCGCACAAGCCACACCAAGAUAAGUCGAGAAGUGAAUCCUGCCACCGCCUGCGCCCACCUCCGCCCCUGCACGGCCGCUGCGACCCCCUCCGCCAAUGCCCAUUGCCACCCCUGCCUGCGCAGCCGGCGACCCCCUCCGCCUGCGCCCCUGCAUGGCCGAGACCACCCCAGCCCAUGCCUGUCGCGGCCUCUGCCUGCCCCCACCGCUGUCCAGCAGCUCAGCCCAGUGCCUCCACGAUUCUCCGCUGUCCUCUUCCCAGUCUCUAUUUUUUAUUCUCCAGCCAAGUUUGGCACCGGAGCAGCUACUUGCUCUGGUUCCCUCUUUUUUUCCUUUUGGCAACGCCUCCACAGUGUUGUUUACCGGUGCCAAAUGCCAAAUUUGGUAUUUGGCACCCCUAUUUGGCAUACAUUGUGGAGGCCCUAAUGUGCUUAGGCCUAUAGCUGUUUAAUUCCUUCGGUAUUUAUUUGUUAGUUUUUCUAAUGAUUGAUGCGUGAAAAUUACUUGAAUGCUAGGCAAUGUUAACCUCAACACCUUGAUGAACAUGUUCAGUGGGCUUGGUGGUGGUUUGGGUGUUCCAAAUGCCCCGAAUGGUUAGUAGAUGCACUUCAUAGUUUCACAUCGGAAGUGAUGUUACCAAGCCACUGUACAUUUUCAUAAGCCUUGCUCAUUCAUUCAGUUUCCACAUUCGCAGUGCCACCGGAAGAACUAUAUGCAACACAGCUAGCUCAGCUCCAAGAAAUGGGUUUCUUUGACCCACAGGAGAACAUCCGAGCAUUGGUCGCCACUGCUGGAAAUGUGAAUGCUGCAGUGGAGCGACUUCUUGGGAAUUUUGGGCAAUAGAAGAUGAUCGAAGUUCUCUGCCUGGUGUUACCUGUAGUUCGCACCUUGAGAUUAUCUGGUUCGUUGAUUUUAUACCUGGUCAGAUUAAAAGGCAACAUCUAGAUUCUAUGUUUUAAGAUGAAUAAACCAGUCUCUACUGGCUAUCCUUUGCAUACAUGGGUCCUGUGUCUUGUGGUUAAAUUGUGGUAUAUUGGUACCUUGAGUCGGUGUACAACUGUACAUACAUGUUGGUACUAUGGGGUCUCAUUGAGUGUACAUGACUGUUGUUUUCCUACUUGGUGAGCUAACCAUCCGUAUGUUGCUGACUUCUUCAUUGAAGAUGUCCUUUUUUUUAGGGAGAACAUGUCCUAGUUUUCUGUACAUGGGAUUUGAAAAGCUCUUGUUCAGUGAAAGUGAGCACGGCGCCUGAACCGCCUGCCGUUGCCUUUUUGGUUGAGACAGCCAACCUCAUGACGGUCUAUGUGAUCUACACAUACGUAGCCUCGUUGCUGAGAAAUUCACAAAAUGUCGUGCUCAGUACCUUUUUUUGGUGUUUGUCCCAAACGCACACGUAUCCUUUCAUUAGACAAAAUGAACUCUUUUCUUUGGAAAUUUAGCAAUUUUUUUAUAACUCACUUUUUGCAUCUGAACCCAUAUGCCAAAUUUUUCAGAACGAGAUUGCCCCUGCCUUUUCUACUUCGAUGCCAGUUAGGUGGUUGUAAAUUUGUGUAACGCAAUAUUGUUGACGGAAUUUCCUUAAAAAAAAUCCCAGUUAGGCCUAAUUCGGUUGCACUAUUCCGGCUGGUAAUGGAAUGGAUUGGGGGAAAAUUGAACUCAAUUUGAUCAAUUCUCCGUUGAUCCCCGCCGGAAAUGGUAGAUCCCAACGGGCCCUUAGGGAAACGCGGUUUACCAGUUUACUAGACAACGCAAUAUUGUUGACAGAAUUUCCUUCAAAAAAUUAUAUUGUUGACGUAAGAAACGUACUCUCAGCAUAGCACAGUCCGAUACACAAUACGUACUUCUCAGAACUACGUUUCCCGGCUGUCUCUCCGACGACGGGCCUAGAAUCUUCUCCUAUCCGCACCGACCCUGACAGCCCAUUCCACGUAGGGCCCACCUAGCACACGCCGUCUCCACAUCACGGAAGGAAUCGCAGCCGUCCAUCCAUCAUCGAUCAACCCCUGUCUCACGCCACGGUCGUCUCAGCCCAGAGUUAUUCCUCGCUGCCUUGCCUUCCCUUCCCUUCCCUUCUUCCUCCUCCAGCGCACGGCGUGUACAAAAGCCAGAAAAAAGAGGGGAACGAACAAACGCCUCGCACACACAACGACAAGAACAAAGUCUCAAACCCCUCCAGAGCACUCGCCGGACCCCGAAUCGGAGCGGAAUCCCGGCCGAAUCGAGGCCUAGGGCUAGAGACGGGAUGGGUGGCGGCGAAGGAGAGGGUGGCGAGUCCGCGGGAGCCCCGCCCGCGACGCUGCACAUCCGGGGCGCCAGCGGCAACAAGUUCGCGGUGCAGGCCGACCUGGGCACAACCGUCGGGGCGUUCAAGGCGAUCGUCGCCCAGAGCUGCGACGUGCCGGCGCCGCAGCAGCGGCUGAUCUACAAGGGCCGGAUCUUGAAGGACGAGCAAACCCUAGCCAGCUACGGUGCGUGUACCUUCCUCCUCACUAGGAAAGAAGGAAAAUCUUGCUAUUUUCUCGCGAUUCUGUCUAAUAUGCCUCUAAUAUGCCGUGGUUGAUGAUGUGGUUAGUUAGGACCUGUGCGUGUGCUCCACGCCUCCAGUUACGCCUAGUGUUAGUUGGUAGUACGCUAGAUGCAAUGCCUGCCUUGCCGUUUGACGAUGCAGGGUGCUGGUGCUUCCUUUGACGAUGUAUUCGGAUUAUGUCGUAGGUUUUUUCCAAUCAUUGUCUCUUGGUAAAUGCAGCAUGGUGGUU
This 6608-nucleotide long non-coding RNA is filed under the name Brachypodium distachyon (stiff brome). Its description in RNAcentral is "long non-coding RNA (BDIS_LNC001497)". The record is from RNAcentral. Lineage: Eukaryota; Viridiplantae; Streptophyta; Magnoliopsida; Poales; Poaceae.